Molecule: ribosomal RNA, 399 nt
Filed under: uncultured soil bacterium
Lineage: Bacteria
Description: bacterial SSU rRNA
Rfam family: Bacterial small subunit ribosomal RNA
Source: RNAcentral
AGAACGAACGCUGGCGGCGUGCCUAACACAUGCAAGUCGAACGAGAAAGGGGCUUCGGCUCCGAGUAAAGUGGCGCACGGGUGAGUAACACGUAGGUAACCUGCCUCUAAGAUUGGGAUAACUUGUCGAAAGACGAGCUGAUACCAAAUAAGACCACGGUCUCCUCGGGGACAGAGGGUCAAAGGUAGCCUCUAUUUAUAAGCUAUCGCUGAGAGAUGGGCCUGCGUACAUUAGCUUGUUGUGAGUAACGGCUCACCAAGGCAAAGAUGGUUAGCUGGUCUGAGAGGAUGAUCAGCCACACUGGAACUGAGACACGGUCCAGACUCCUACGGGAGGCAGCAGGUGGGAAUAUUGCGCAAGUGGACGAAAGCCUAGACGCAGACAACGCCGCGUGAGUGA